GCGCGGGUGGCGGGCCUCGGAGCCCCAGUGCCAGCCGCGGCCGGGCGCGUCGGUGGCGCGGGCGAGCGCGGCGCCGAUCAUCACGGCGUCCGCGCCC
Molecule: transfer RNA, 97 nt
Filed under: Pseudoclavibacter triregionum
Lineage: Bacteria; Bacillati; Actinomycetota; Actinomycetes; Micrococcales; Microbacteriaceae
Description: Pseudoclavibacter sp. 125703-2019 tRNA-Arg(gcg)
Source: RNAcentral